AACUUUUAGCAACGGACACUUGGCUCUCGCAUCGAUGAAGAACGCAGCGAAAUGCGAUAAGUAAUGUGAAUUGCAGAAUUCAGUGAAUCAUCGAAUCUUUGAACGCACCUUGCACUCCUUGGUAUUCCGAGGAGUAUGCCUGUUUGAGUGUCAUUAAUAUAUCAACCUCUCAAGCUUUUGCUUGUGGAGUGUAUGGAUGUGGGGGAAUUAUUUUGCUGGCCUUUUAAUGAGGUCGGCUCCCCUGAAAUGCAUUGGCAGAAUGAUUUUGCUGACCGUUUAUUGGUGUGAUAACUAUCUACGCUGUUGACGUGAAGCAAGUUCAGCUUAUAAUGGUCCAUUGACUUGGACAACAUAUUUAUUAAUGUGACCUCAAAUCAGGUAGGACUACCCGCUGAACUUAAGCAUAUCAAUAAGCGGAGGCU
RNAcentral lists this unclassified non-coding RNA (422 nucleotides) under uncultured Cortinarius. RNAcentral describes it as "sequence contains ITS2". The stretch from base 1 to 153 matches the Rfam family "5.8S ribosomal RNA". The record is from RNAcentral. Lineage: Eukaryota; Fungi; Basidiomycota; Agaricomycetes; Agaricales; Cortinariaceae.